Paramuricea clavata is the source of this 263-nucleotide non-coding RNA. Lineage: Eukaryota; Metazoa; Cnidaria; Anthozoa; Malacalcyonacea; Plexauridae. The record is from the annotation of a GenBank genome assembly.
AUGUAGCUUAUUAAUUGAAAGUCAAUUAGAAAUAACCACCAAACCAGAAGUUGGUUGUUGCAUCAGGCGAAGACGUACAACGGAACUUGGUGUUCUUGUACAAGUAAAGACCAAAAUAUCUUCACUGAACACAGCUCCUCCUCUCGGUGUGAACUGACAAGCUGUCGAUGUGCUGUCAAGAUGCACACUUUCUCUGUUGACGUAUGCAUACCAUUUCAUUAAUUUGUAUACGUUACCACCUUUGAAGGUCGUCACAUCGAAAU